GACGAACGCUGGCGGCGUGCUUAACACAUGCAAGUCGAACGGAAACGCCCUGCUUUUGUGGGGUGCUCGAGUGGCGAACGGGUGAGUAACACGUGAGUAACCUGCCCUUGACUUUGGGAUAACUUCAGGAAACUGGGGCUAAUACCGGAUAGGAGCUCCUGCUGCAUGGUGGGGGUUGGAAAGUUUCGGCGGUUGGGGAUGGACUCGCGGCUUAUCAGCUUGUUGGUGGGGUAGUGGCUUACCAAGGGUUUGACGGAUAGCCGGCCUGGGAGGGUGACCGGCCACAUUGGGACUGAGAUACGGCCCAGACUCCUACGGGAGGCAGCAGUGGGGAAUAUUGCACAGUGGGCGGAAGCCUGAUGCAGCAACGCCGCGUGCGGGAUGACGGCCUUCGGGUUGUAAACCGCUUUCGCCUGUGACGAAGCGUGAGUGACGGUAAUGGGUAAAGAAGCACCGGCUAACUACGUG
Molecule: ribosomal RNA, 468 nt
Filed under: uncultured bacterium
Lineage: Bacteria
Description: partial 16S ribosomal RNA
Rfam family: Bacterial small subunit ribosomal RNA
Source: RNAcentral